This 67-nucleotide transfer RNA is filed under the name Marmota monax (woodchuck). RNAcentral describes it as "tRNA.Ala". The record is from RNAcentral. Lineage: Eukaryota; Metazoa; Chordata; Mammalia; Rodentia; Sciuridae.
GGUUGUAGCUCAGUGGUAGAGUGCUCACCCAGCACGUGUCAGGCCCUGGGUUCAAGCCUCAGCACCA